Molecule: small nucleolar RNA, 133 nt
Filed under: Pogona vitticeps (central bearded dragon)
Lineage: Eukaryota; Metazoa; Chordata; Lepidosauria; Squamata; Agamidae
Description: Small nucleolar RNA SNORA77 (ENSPVIG00000016677.1)
Rfam family: Small nucleolar RNA SNORA77
About the family: ACA63 (SNORA77) is a member of the H/ACA class of snoRNAs that guide the sites of modification of uridines to pseudouridines. This snoRNA was identified by computational screening and its expression in mouse experimentally verified by Northern blot and primer extension analysis.
Source: Rfam by way of RNAcentral
GCAGGCUCACUCUGUGCCUGACUGCAAUAUUCAGUCAAGGUGCUUUUUAAGUCUGCUAUAGUAACAAUCCAGGAUGUCGUGAACAUAUCCCUGAUUGUGGAACUCAUGUUUCAACUCUUCUUGGCACAUCACU